Branchiostoma belcheri (Belcher's lancelet) is the source of this 238-nucleotide long non-coding RNA. RefSeq lists it as uncharacterized. The transcript has 2 exons. The record is from RefSeq and is a predicted model, not a curated record. NCBI's taxonomy places the organism in Eukaryota, Metazoa, Chordata, Leptocardii, Amphioxiformes, Branchiostomatidae.
CCGUAACAUCGGCAGUCUGCGAGUUCUGGUGAGGAACGUGGAGGAUGAAUCAACACAAGAAGUGUGGCGACGGGAGGGACAACAGGGGAGGGGAUGGCUGCUUGCUUCAGUCAACAUCGGUACUAACAACAGGAACUAUCAGGUUGUUCUAGAGGCUGUUGUGGGAAAUGGAGACCAGGGAGACAUAGCUGUUGACGAUGUGUCUUUCGCAACCUACUGUCCUCUUCAUGCAGAAGGU